GACGAACGCUGGCGGCGUGCCUAAUACAUGCAAGUCGAACGCACUCUCGUUUAGAUUGAAGGAGCUUGCUCCUGAUUGAUAAACAUUUGAGUGAGUGGCGGACGGGUGAGUAACACGUGGGUAACCUGCCCUAAAGUGGGGGAUAACAUUUGGAAACAGAUGCUAAUACCGCAUAAAACCUAAACACCGCAUGGUGUAGGGUUGAAAGAUGGUUUCGGCUAUCACUUUAGGAUGGACCCGCGGUGCAUUAGUUAGUUGGUGAGGUAAAGGCUCACCAAGACCGUGAUGCAUAGCCGACCUGAGAGGGUAAUCGGCCACACUGGGACUGAGACACGGCCCAGACUCCUACGGGAGGCAGCAGUAGGGAAUCUUCCACAAUGGACGAAAGUCUGAUGGAGCAACGCCGCGUGAGUGAAGAAGGUUUCGGAUCGUAAAACUCUGUUGUUGGAGAAGAAUGUAUCUGAUAGUAACUGAUCAGGUAGUGACGGUAUCCAACCAGAAAG
RNAcentral lists this ribosomal RNA (503 nucleotides) under uncultured bacterium. Its description in RNAcentral is "bacterial SSU rRNA". It matches the Rfam family "Bacterial small subunit ribosomal RNA", at positions 28 to 490 of the family's 1533-position model. The record is from RNAcentral.